UUUCCAGAGUGUAUGUACUUCUUCCCUCUCCCGCUAGGGCAUGAGACUUCCCUCGUGCUGUUCCUCUAAGCCGUCACCCUAGGACCGGGCGCGUUCCUCUACCAUUUCGGCCAGCCUGGAGGCCAUUUCUUCCUGAUGGGGCCGUGGGAUCCAUGCUUUAUUCCGUUCGGCGGGCUGUGGAAGUUCCUGGUAGAUGUCCUAAGUGAAAAUGGAUUUCCUCAGUGGGCAGGAACAAAACUGCCAUGAUUCUUCCCGGAUACUGGAAUGCAGACACUGGACCUCAGCUCAAGUUGGCCUGCCCCAAUGCACCUGCAUCACUAGAGCAUCGUGUGAUGACUCAGUGAACGGGAGGAGGAGGACAGAAGGCAAGAUCCCGGACACGUAUUAUGAUUCUUGGAAGUCUGAAGGAAUUUAGGAUUCCUCACAGCAGGAAAAUGUCAGUAAAGAAGAUAUCAAGGAUCCUGGAGGUCCCACAAAAUGUUGCAUCUGGGUGAAAUUCGCAAGGUCAACUUAUUUCGUGGAAAAUGGCCACAUUUGCAUUUCGAACAAAUGAGCCUCCAUCUCUUCAUCUCCCUGCCUCCACAUUCUAUCCAAAGAUGACGCCCUUCUCCUCAGGGAGCAGGUAAAUAGGGAGAAAAUGGAUGGUUGUUAGCUACAGGCAGAGAAUGAGGCAUUUGGAGGCUGACACUCAGGAUUGCACAGAGUUGAAGUUGGCAGGAGUCCAGCUCCAGGCAGGUCAUGACCUCGGGGACCUCCGCUAGCCCUGCUGCCCCCAGCAGGAAAUGCCAGUGGGUUGAGG
This is a long non-coding RNA of Lutra lutra (Eurasian river otter), 799 nucleotides long. RefSeq lists it as uncharacterized. The transcript has 4 exons. Lineage: Eukaryota; Metazoa; Chordata; Mammalia; Carnivora; Mustelidae. The record is from RefSeq and is a predicted model, not a curated record.